GGUUUCAUGGUGUAGGGGUUAGCGUAAGUUUUCACUCGAAAGAUGUGAUUAUUUAUGUGUUCCACAUCCUGACAAUGUAUACAGACGAUAGAUUCUGAUUCUGUAGACUCGGGUUCGAUUCCCGAUGAGACCU
This is a transfer RNA of Glarea lozoyensis 74030, 133 nucleotides long. It matches the Rfam family "tRNA". Rfam says of the family: Transfer RNA (tRNA) molecules are approximately 80 nucleotides in length. Their secondary structure includes four short double-helical elements and three loops (D, anti-codon, and T loops). Lineage: Eukaryota; Fungi; Ascomycota; Leotiomycetes; Helotiales; Helotiaceae. The record is from Rfam.